CCUACGGGUGGCUGCAGUGGGGAAUAUUGCGCAAUGGGCGAAAGCCUGACGCAGCGACGCCGCGUGGGUGAUGAAGGCCUUCGGGUUGUAAAGCCCUGUCGGGUGGAACGAACGAUCUGGCGGCGAAUAACCGCCGGGUGUGACGGUACCACCGAAGGAAGCCCCGGCUCACUACGUGCCAGCAGCCGCGGUAAGACGUAGGGGGCGAGCGUUGGUCGGAUUUGCUGAGCGUGAAAGGUGCGUAGGCUGCGAAAUCCCUCGCCGUAACCGAGGUCCCGCAGUCGAUACUGUCUGGCUCGAGUCUAGGAGAGGAAAGCGGAAUUCCCAGUGUAGCGGUGAAAUGCGUAGAUAUUGGGAGGAACACCGGUGGCGAAGGCGGCUUUCCGGACUAGUACUGACGCUGAGGCGCGAAAGCUAGGGGAGCGAACGGGAUUAGAUACCCGGGUAGUC
This 450-nucleotide ribosomal RNA is filed under the name uncultured bacterium. RNAcentral's name for it is "partial 16S ribosomal RNA". It matches the Rfam family "Bacterial small subunit ribosomal RNA", at positions 338 to 795 of the family's 1533-position model. The record is from RNAcentral.